Molecule: ribosomal RNA, 408 nt
Filed under: uncultured Methylomirabilota bacterium
Lineage: Bacteria; Methylomirabilota (SeqCode)
Description: bacterial SSU rRNA
Rfam family: Bacterial small subunit ribosomal RNA
Source: RNAcentral
CGUGGAGACAGGUGGUGCAUGGCUGUCGUCAGCUCGUGUCGUGAGAUGUUGGGUUAAGUCCCGCAACGAGCGCAACCCUCACCUCUUGUUGCCAUCAGGUCAUGCUGGGCACUCUAGAGGAACUGCCCCGGUCAACGGGGAGGGAGGCGGGGAUGACGUCAAGUCAUCAUGCCCCUUACGUCCUGGGCUACACACGUGCUACAAUGGCCGGUACAAAGGGAUGCCACACCGCGAGGUAGAGCUAAACCCAAAAAGCCGGUCUAAGUUCAGAUUGGAGUCUGCAACUCGACUCCAUGAAGGAGGAAUCGCUAGUAAUCGCGUAUCAGCACGACGCGGUGAAUACGUUCCCGGGCCUUGUACACACCGCCCGUCACACCACGAAAGCCUGCUGUACUCGAAGUCGCUGAG